UGCAGUCGAGCGAACAGAUGAGAAGCUUGCUUCUCUGAUGUUAGCGGCGGACGGGUGAGUAACACGUGGGUAACCUACCUAUAAGACUGGGAUAACUCCGGGAAACCGGGGCUAAUACCGGAUAAUAUUUUGAACCGCAUGGUUCAAUAGUGAAAGACGGUUUCGGCUGUCACUUAUAGAUGGACCCGCGCCGUAUUAGCUAGUUGGUAAGGUAAUGGCUUACCAAGGCGACGAUACGUAGCCGACCUGAGAGGGUGAUCGGCCACACUGGAACUGAGACACGGUCCAGACUCCUACGGGAGGCAGCAGUAGGGAAUCUUCCGCAAUGGGCGAAAGCCUGACGGAGCAACGCCGCGUGAGUGAUGAAGGUCUUCGGAUCGUAAAACUCUGUUGUUAGGGAAGAACAAAUUUGUUAGUAACUGAACAAGUCUUGACGGUACCUAACCAGAAAGCCACGGCUAACUACGUGCCAGCAGCCGCGGUAAUACGUAGGUGGCAAGCGUUAUCCGGAAUUAUUGGGCGUAAAGCGCGCGUAGGCGGUUUCUUAAGUCUGAUGUGAAAGCCCACGGCUCAACCGUGGAGGGUCAUUGGAAACUGGGAAACUUGAGUGCAGAAGAGGAGAGUGGAAUUCCAUGUGUAGCGGUGAAAUGCGCAGAGAUAUGGAGGAACACCAGUGGCGAAGGCGGCUCUCUGGUCUGUAACUGACGCUGAUGUGCGAAAGCGUGGGGAUCAAACAGGAUUAGAUACCCUGGUAGUCCACGCCGUAAACGAUGAGUGCUAAGUGUUAGGGGGUUUCCGCCCCUUAGUGCUGCAGCUAACGCAUUAAGCACUCCGCCUGGGGAGUACGACCGCAAGGUUGAAACUCAAAGGAAUUGACGGGGACCCGCACAAGCGGUGGAGCAUGUGGUUUAAUUCGAAGCAACGCGAAGAACCUUACCAAAUCUUGACAUCCUUUGACCGCUCUAGAGAUAGAGUCUUCCCCUUCGGGGGACAAAGUGACAGGUGGUGCAUGGUUGUCGUCAGCUCGUGUCGUGAGAUGUUGGGUUAAGUCCCGCAACGAGCGCAACCCUUAAGCUUAGUUGCCAUCAUUAAGUUGGGCACUCUAGGUUGACUGCCGGUGACAAACCGGAGGAAGGUGGGGAUGACGUCAAAUCAUCAUGCCCCUUAUGAUUUGGGCUACACACGUGCUACAAUGGAUAAUACAAAGGGCAGCGAAUCCGCGAGGCCAAGCAAAUCCCAUAAAAUUAUUCUCAGUUCGGAUUGUAGUCUGCAACUCGACUACAUGAAGCUGGAAUCGCUAGUAAUCGUAGAUCAGCAUGCUACGGUGAAUACGUUCCCGGGUCUUGUACACACCGCCCGUCACACCACGAGAGUUUGUAACACCCGAAGCCGGUGGAGUAACCUUUUAGGAGCUAGCCGUCGAAG
This 1425-nucleotide ribosomal RNA is filed under the name bacterium. RNAcentral describes it as "bacterial SSU rRNA". It matches the Rfam family "Bacterial small subunit ribosomal RNA". The record is from RNAcentral.